Molecule: small RNA, 127 nt
Filed under: Marmota monax (woodchuck)
Lineage: Eukaryota; Metazoa; Chordata; Mammalia; Rodentia; Sciuridae
Source: RNAcentral
GCCGGGCAUAGUGGUGCACAUCUGUAAUCCCAGCAACUUGGGAGGCUGAGGUAGAAGCAUUGCAAGUUCAAGGCUAGCCUCAGCAACUGGGUGAAGCCUUAAGAAACUUAGUGAGACUCUGUCUCAA